Molecule: unclassified non-coding RNA, 200 nt
Filed under: Glomus sp.
Lineage: Eukaryota; Fungi; Glomeromycota; Glomeromycetes; Glomerales; Glomeraceae
Description: partial contains 5.8S ribosomal RNA and internal transcribed spacer 2
Rfam family: 5.8S ribosomal RNA (bases 1-71)
Source: RNAcentral
GUGAAUCAUCAAAUUUUUGAACGCAAAUUGCACUUUCUGGUAUUCCGGAGAGUAUGCCUGUUUGAGUGUCAGUUAAAUAAAAAUCGGUUUUGGUUCUUCCUUUCGUGGUGACUCGGCGUAAUUGGGUCGUCUUACCUACGGUUAUGUGACUUAAGAUGGUUUCAUUAUUUUCGAACGUAUGUAAAUCGCUUUCGUGCGUU